AAAGAGAGUGCGAUCACAUCUUACAUGAAGGAUUAUGGCUCUAAACGGGCCAGGAUGUUUGGAUGGCCAAACACUUACGUAUUUACCAAGGCAAUGGGAGAGAUGCUCCUAGUCCAUUAUAGUAGAGAUACAGUACCUCUAGUCAUUAUCCGCCCUACUAUGGUAACAAGUACUUACCAGGAGCCGUUUCCCGGUUGGAUUGAAGGCGUAAGGACCAUUGAUGGUGUCGCUGUUGGCUAUGCUAAAGGGAA
This is a long non-coding RNA of Populus euphratica (Euphrates poplar), 251 nucleotides long. RefSeq lists it as uncharacterized. The record is from RefSeq and is a predicted model, not a curated record. The transcript is spliced from 3 exons. Lineage: Eukaryota; Viridiplantae; Streptophyta; Magnoliopsida; Malpighiales; Salicaceae.